GGGGAACAAAUAUGAGGCGGGCUGGACCUCUCGGGGUUACAGCCUUGCUGAAUUAUUCACCCUUGUCUUUUGCGUACUUCUUGUUUCCUUGGUGGGUUCGCCCACCACUAGGACAAACAUAAACCUUUUGUAAUUGCAAUCAGCGUCAGUAACAAAUUAAUAAUUACAACUUUCAACAACGGAUCUCUUGGUUCUGGCAUCGAUGAAGAACGCAGCGAAAUGCGAUAAGUAGUGUGAAUUGCAGAAUUCAGUGAAUCAUCGAAUCUUUGAACGCACAUUGCGCCCUUUGGUAUUCCAAAGGGCAUGCCUGUUCGAGCGUCAUUUGUACCCUCAAGCUUUGCUUGGUGUUGGGCGUCUUGUCUCUAGCUUUGCUGGAGACUCGCCUUAAAGUAAUUGGCAGCCGGCCUACUGGUUUCGGAGCGCAGCACAAGUCGCACUCUCUAUCAGCAAAGGUCUAGCAUCCAUUAAGCCUUUUUUUCAACUUUUGACCUCGGAUCAGGUAGGGAUACCCGCUGAACUUAAGCAUAUCAAUAAGCCGGAGGAAGA
RNAcentral lists this ribosomal RNA (546 nucleotides) under Alternaria tenuissima. Its description in RNAcentral is "eukaryotic LSU rRNA". The stretch from base 168 to 321 matches the Rfam family "5.8S ribosomal RNA". Lineage: Eukaryota; Fungi; Ascomycota; Dothideomycetes; Pleosporales; Pleosporaceae. The record is from RNAcentral.